AUUUUUAAAAUUGAAUAAUUGUACCCUAUAAUAUAGCAAACAAAGUAGGCUGAUGGGCAAGCCUCCUCCUGCCGCAAUGGUGUGGGGCGUCAGAGGCUGUUGCCCCGUCGCCAACUUGAAGGGGCUGAAGUUCAACGCAGAGCUUUUGAACAACACUGAGUAACAUCCAACAGCUCUGGUCUUUCUGGUUGGUGUGCUUGCACUAAAGUGCCUUAAUUAAGUAGCCCGCCCUUGAGGAGUCCAUUUAUAUCCGUCUGAGCUUUCAAAGAUAUACCGACCAUAGGUAUCUUAGUUGCCAUCAGAUACAGAUAGACCAAAUAUAUUAAUUAUUCAGUAAAUUUAAAAAGUAAUUUUAUUUUAUUUUUUGUUUAUAAUUGAGACAGGAGUAAUUUGGGCUACUUGUGCACAUUAGAAGCAGCCUUCUUUUUGUAGUUACUUCAAAUAUGAAAAGUGAUUUCUUUUGGCAGUCAAAAUUACUUUUACUAAAAACACAGAGAAUG
This 500-nucleotide long non-coding RNA is filed under the name Trifolium pratense (red clover). RNAcentral's name for it is "long non-coding RNA (TPRA_LNC003150)". The record is from RNAcentral. Lineage: Eukaryota; Viridiplantae; Streptophyta; Magnoliopsida; Fabales; Fabaceae.